UUGAAAGGGAAACGAUUGAAGUCAGUCGUACCUGUGGGUAAUCAGCCUUUUGGGUGUGAUUUUGUGGAGUGUGAGGAGUUAAACGCCUUCAUGCCUGCAUAUUCCUGCACUUUGGGUGUAUUUACCCGUGUGGUAAGUUAACAUCAAUUUCGGUGGUCAUAAAAUGGCUGGAGGAAUGUAGCUUCGAUCUUGUAUUGAAGUGUUAUAGCCUUCGGUAGAUGUGAUGAUCGGGAUUGAGGAUUGCAACGGAUACCCUUCGGGGCUACCUGUCUGAUCUCUGAUCGCUGCUCUGGUGCCGAAAGCUUGCUUACGGUUAUCAAAGUCGAUGGUCAAUAGGUUAGAAUGGGUUAAAUUCGUUAAGGAUGUUGACGUA
This 373-nucleotide ribosomal RNA is filed under the name uncultured Glomeromycotina. RNAcentral describes it as "LSU rRNA". The record is from RNAcentral. Lineage: Eukaryota; Fungi; Glomeromycota.